Molecule: non-coding RNA, 95 nt
Organism: Mycena latifolia
Lineage: Eukaryota; Fungi; Basidiomycota; Agaricomycetes; Agaricales; Mycenaceae
Source: the annotation of a GenBank genome assembly
AGCUUGGUGGCGUAAUGGUAACACGCUCCGCGGUGCUCUACUGCAUUUGUAUAUUGUUUGACAGAAAGUCCGGAGUUCGAUUCUCCGUCAAGCCA